Molecule: ribosomal RNA, 253 nt
Filed under: uncultured bacterium
Lineage: Bacteria
Description: partial 16S ribosomal RNA
Rfam family: Bacterial small subunit ribosomal RNA
Source: RNAcentral
CGGGUGAGUAACGCGUGAGUAACCUGCCUCAUACAACGGGAUACCUGAGGGAAACUUCAGUUAAUACGGUAUAAGACCACACUGCCGCAUGGCAGAGGGGUAAAAGGAGCAGUCCGGUAUGAGAUGGACUCGCGUCACAUUAGCUAGUUGGUGAGGUAACGGCCCACCAAGGCGACGAUGCGUAGCCGACCUGAGAGGGUGAUCGGCCACAUUGGGACUGAGAUACGGCCCAGACUCCUACGGAAGGCAGCAG